UCCUACGGGAGGCAGCAGUGGGGAAUAUUGCACAAUGGGCGCAAGCCUGAUGCAGCAACGCCGCGUGAGGGACGAAGGCCUUCGGGUUGUAAACCUCUUUUAGUAGGGAAGAAGCGGCUGGGUUUUCCUGGGAGUGACGGUACCUGCAGAAAAAGCACCGGCUAACUACGUGCCAGCAGCCGCGGUAAUACGUAGGGUGCAAGCGUUGUCCGGAAUUAUUGGGCGUAAAGAGCUCGUAGGCGGUUUGUCGCGUCUGCUGUGAAAACCCGAGGCUCAACCUCGGGCCUGCAGUGGGUACGGGCAGACUAGAGUGCGGUAGGGGAGAUUGGAAUUCCUGGUGUAGCGGUGGAAUGCGCAGAUAUCAGGAGGAACACCAAUGGCGAAGGCAGAUCUCUGGGCCGUAACUGACGCUGAGGAGCGAAAGCAUGGGGAGCGAACAGGAUUAGAUACCCUGGUAGUCCAUGCCGUAAACGUUGGGAACUAGAUGUGGGGACCAUUCCACGGUCUCCGUGUCGCAGCUAACGCAUUAAGUUCCCCGCCUGGGGAGUACGGCCGCAAGGCUAAAACUCAAAGGAAUUGACGGGGGCCCGCACAAGCGGCGGAGCAUGCGGAUUAAUUCGAUGCAACGCGAAGAACCUUACCAAGGCUUGACAUAUACCGGAAACGGCUGGAAACAGUCGCCCCGCAAGGUCGGUAUACAGGUGGUGCAUGGUUGUCGUCAGCUCGUGUCGUGAGAUGUUGGGUUAAGUCCCGCAACGAGCGCAACCCUCGUCCUAUGUUGCCAGCACGUAAUGGUGGGAACUCAUGGGAUACUGCCGGGGUCAACUCGGAGGAAGGUGGGGAUGACGUCAAAUCAUCAUGCCCCUUAUGUCUUGGGCUUCACGCAUGCUGCAAUGGCCGGUACAAAGGGCUGCGAUACCGCAAGGUGGAGCGAAUCCCAAAAAGCCGGUCUCAGUUCGGAUUGAGGUCUGCAACUCGACCUCAUGAAGUCGGAGUCGCUAGUAAUCGCAGAUCAGCAACGCUGCGGUGAAUACGUUCCCGGGCCUUGUACACACCGCC
Molecule: ribosomal RNA, 1059 nt
Filed under: uncultured Cryobacterium sp.
Lineage: Bacteria; Bacillati; Actinomycetota; Actinomycetes; Micrococcales; Microbacteriaceae
Description: bacterial SSU rRNA
Rfam family: Bacterial small subunit ribosomal RNA
Source: RNAcentral